AGACCUCGGCUCUGUUAUCCUUCAUUCACCGCCUGUGGGAGUUUUGCACUGCAAGUCGUGGAGAAUGGCACGUCCAGCACGGAGUAUUUUCAGAGGUGCACCUACCCUGGAAUCUGCAAUUCCUCCUUUUCCUUUAACUUUGAGGUCCUCAGUGCCAAUCUCAAUGCCCAGUGCUGCACGACAAGCCUCUGCAUCCCGGUGAACUCAGUAACAGUGUCUCCACAAACUCUGAAUUCUCUGACGUGCUAUUUUGGAGUAAACGGCAACAUCAAUGGGACUAUCCAGUGUAAAGGAAGUGAAACUCUGUGCUUCACAAUUGGAUUGAAUAGCACAGGAAUUAUCAGAGGAUGCACUUCAAAGAGUGGCUGUGACAACUAUGAAACAGUCAUCGGCUUCUUUGAUGACACCCCGACAACAAAACCCACGUGCUGCAGUGAAAACUUAUGCAAUAGCAGCUGGAGGCCAAGAUGGAGUCCCAUUUUGUAUCUGCUUGUGCUGACAGCAGUGACCUUCUUUUACUAAAUUUGUGCAGACCUAAGAUGGUCAUGGAAGGCUGGCCUCUGUCACCUGGCACCCCAUUGAUUCUGC
Molecule: long non-coding RNA, 588 nt
Organism: Polypterus senegalus (gray bichir)
Lineage: Eukaryota; Metazoa; Chordata; Cladistia; Polypteriformes; Polypteridae
Exons: 4
Source: RefSeq, a predicted model, not a curated record